RNAcentral lists this ribosomal RNA (388 nucleotides) under uncultured Shinella sp. RNAcentral describes it as "bacterial SSU rRNA". It matches the Rfam family "Bacterial small subunit ribosomal RNA", at positions 346 to 751 of the family's 1533-position model. The record is from RNAcentral. Lineage: Bacteria; Pseudomonadati; Pseudomonadota; Alphaproteobacteria; Hyphomicrobiales; Rhizobiaceae.
AGGCAGCAGUGGGGAAUAUUGGACAAUGGGCGCAAGCCUGAUCCAGCCAUGCCGCGUGAGUGAUGAAGGCCCUAGGGUUGUAAAGCUCUUUCACCGGUGAAGAUAAUGACGGUAACCGGAGAAGAAGCCCCGGCUAACUUCGUGCCAGCAGCCGCGGUAAUACGAAGGGGGCUAGCGUUGUUCGGAAUUACUGGGCGUAAAGCGCACGUAGGCGGGUAUUUAAGUCAGGGGUGAAAUCCCGGAGCUCAACUCCGGAACUGCCUUUGAUACUGGGUAUCUGGAGUAUGGAAGAGGUAAGUGGAAUUCCGAGUGUAGAGGUGAAAUUCGUAGAUAUUCGGAGGAACACCAGUGGCGAAGGCGGCUUACUGGUCCAUUACNGACGCNGAGG